RNAcentral lists this ribosomal RNA (232 nucleotides) under uncultured bacterium. RNAcentral's name for it is "partial 16S ribosomal RNA". It matches the Rfam family "Bacterial small subunit ribosomal RNA", at positions 118 to 353 of the family's 1533-position model. The record is from RNAcentral.
UGAGCAACCUGCCCUUAGCUCUGGGAUAACCCCGGGAAACCGGGGCUAAUACCGGAUAUGAGUCCGAGCGGCAUCACGCGGACUGGAAAGUUUUUUGGCUAAGGAUGGGCUCGCGGCCUAUCAGCUUGUUGGUGAGGUAAUGGCUCACCAAGGCGACGACGGGUAGCCGGCCUGAGAGGGUGACCGGCCACACUGGGACUGAGACACGGCCUAGACUCCUACGGGAGCAGCA